AACUAACGCUGGCGGCGUGCCUAACACAUGCAAGUCGUACGAGAAAGCCGGCUUCGGCUGGUGAGUAAAGUGGCGCACGGGUGAGUAACGCGUGGAUAAUCUGCCCUUAAGUGUGGAAUAACGUACCGAAAGGUGCGCUAAUACCGCAUAAUGCCUGGCAACACAAGUUGUCCGGCCAAAGAAGGCCUCUGUUUACAAGCUUUCGCCGGAGGAUGAGCCCGCGUACCAUUAGCUAGUUGGCAGGGUAAUGGCCUACCAAGGCUACGAUGGUUAGCUGGUCUGAGAGGAUGGCCAGCCACACUGGAACUGAGACACGGUCCAGACUCCUACGGGAGGCAGCAGUGAGGAAUCUUGCGCAAUGGGGGAAACCCUGACGCAGCAACGCCGCGUGAGUGAGGAAGGCCUUCGGGUUGUAAACUGCUUUUGUACGGAACGAAAAGGUCUUUCUAAUAAAGAAGGCUGAUGACGGUACCGUAAGAAUAAGCACCGGCUAACUACGUGCCAGCACG
This 509-nucleotide ribosomal RNA is filed under the name uncultured bacterium. Its description in RNAcentral is "bacterial SSU rRNA". It matches the Rfam family "Bacterial small subunit ribosomal RNA", at positions 29 to 515 of the family's 1533-position model. The record is from RNAcentral.